GAUGAACGCUGGCGGCGUGCCUAAUACAUGCAAGUCGAGCGAAUGGAUUAAGAGCUUGCUCUUAUGAAGUUAGCGGCGGACGGGUGAGUAACACGUGGGUAACCUGCCCAUAAGACUGGGAUAACUCCGGGAAACCGGGGCUAAUACCGGAUAACAUUUUGAACCGCAUGGUUCGAAAUUGAAAGGCGGCUUCGGCUGUCACUUAUGGAUGGACCCGCGUCGCAUUAGCUAGUUGGUGAGGUAACGGCUCACCAAGGCAACGAUGCGUAGCCGGCCUGAUGGGGUGAUCGGCCACACUGGGACUGAGACACGGCCCAGACUCCUACGGGAGGCAGCAGUAGGGAAUCUUCCGCAAUGGACCAAAGUCUGACGGAGCAACGCCGCGUGAGUGAUGAAGGCUUUCGGGUCGUAAAACUCUGUUGUUAGGGAAGAACAAGUGCUAGUUGAAUAAGCUGGCACCUUGACGGUACCUAACCAGAAAGCCACGGCUAACUACGUGCCAGCCGCCGCGGUAA
RNAcentral lists this ribosomal RNA (515 nucleotides) under uncultured bacterium. Its description in RNAcentral is "partial 16S ribosomal RNA". It matches the Rfam family "Bacterial small subunit ribosomal RNA", at positions 28 to 523 of the family's 1533-position model. The record is from RNAcentral.